GCAAGUCGAGCGCACUUAUGACCUUCGGGUUAUAGGCGAGCGGCGGACGGGUUAGUAACGCGUGGGAACGUACCCUUUUCUAAGGAAUAGCCUCGGGAAACUGAGAGUAAUACCUUAUACGCCCUUCGGGGGAAAGAUUUAUCGGAUUUGGAUCAGCCCGCGUUAGAUUAGAUAGUUGGUGGGGUAACGGCCUACCAAGUCUACGAUCCAUAGCUGGUUUGAGAGGAUGAUC
RNAcentral lists this ribosomal RNA (232 nucleotides) under uncultured bacterium. RNAcentral describes it as "partial 16S ribosomal RNA". It matches the Rfam family "Bacterial small subunit ribosomal RNA", at positions 57 to 305 of the family's 1533-position model. The record is from RNAcentral.